RNAcentral lists this transfer RNA (84 nucleotides) under Bacteroidales bacterium. Its description in RNAcentral is "tRNA-Leu". It matches the Rfam family "tRNA". Rfam says of the family: Transfer RNA (tRNA) molecules are approximately 80 nucleotides in length. Their secondary structure includes four short double-helical elements and three loops (D, anti-codon, and T loops). Further hydrogen bonds mediate the characteristic L-shaped molecular structure. tRNAs have two regions of fundamental functional importance: the anti-codon, which is responsible for specific mRNA codon recognition, and the 3' end, to which the tRNAs corresponding amino acid is attached (by aminoacyl-tRNA synthetases). tRNAs cope with the degeneracy of the genetic code in two manners: having more than one tRNA (with a specific anti-codon) for a particular amino acid; and 'wobble' base-pairing, i.e. permitting non-standard base-pairing at the 3rd anti-codon position. RNAcentral also lists the same sequence under 1 other name. The record is from RNAcentral. Lineage: Bacteria; Pseudomonadati; Bacteroidota; Bacteroidia; Bacteroidales.
GCGCAGGUGGUGAAAUUGGUAUACACGCUACUUUGAGGGGGUAGUGGCUUCACGGCCGUGUGAGUUCGAGUCUCAUCCUGCGCA